RNAcentral lists this ribosomal RNA (614 nucleotides) under Martinezella tropici. RNAcentral describes it as "bacterial SSU rRNA". It matches the Rfam family "Bacterial small subunit ribosomal RNA", at positions 44 to 705 of the family's 1533-position model. The record is from RNAcentral. Lineage: Bacteria; Pseudomonadati; Pseudomonadota; Alphaproteobacteria; Hyphomicrobiales; Rhizobiaceae.
AGGCUUAACACAUGCAAGUCGAGCGCCCCGCAAGGGGAGCGGCAGACGGGUGAGUAACGCGUGGGAAUCUACCUUUUGCUACGGAAUAACGCAGGGAAACUUGUGCUAAUACCGUAUGUGUCCUUCGGGAGAAAGAUUUAUCGGCAAGAGAUGAGCCCGCGUUGGAUUAGCUAGUUGGUGGGGUAAAGGCCUACCAAGGCGACGAUCCAUAGCUGGUCUGAGAGGAUGAUCAGCCACAUUGGGACUGAGACACGGCCCAAACUCCUACGGGAGGCAGCAGUGGGGAAUAUUGGACAAUGGGCGCAAGCCUGAUCCAGCCAUGCCGCGUGAGUGAUGAAGGCCCUAGGGUUGUAAAGCUCUUUCACCGGAGAAGAUAAUGACGGUAUCCGGAGAAGAAGCCCCGGCUAACUUCGUGCCAGCAGCCGCGGUAAUACGAAGGGGGCUAGCCGUUGUUCGGAAUUACUGGGCGUAAAGCGCACGUAGGCGGAUCGAUCAGUCAGGGGUGAAAUCCCAGGGCUCAACCCUGGAACUGCCUUUGAUACUGUCGAUCUGGAGUAUGGAAGAAGUGAGUGGAAUUCCGAGUGUAGAGGUGAAAUUCGUAGAUAUUCGGAGGA